Molecule: ribosomal RNA, 584 nt
Filed under: Hepatozoon sp.
Lineage: Eukaryota; Apicomplexa; Hepatozoidae
Description: SSU rRNA
Rfam family: Eukaryotic small subunit ribosomal RNA
Source: RNAcentral
GGUUACGGGGGAUUAGGGUUCGAUUCCGGAGAGGGAGCCUGAGAAACGGCUACCACAUCUAGGAAGGCAGCAGGCGCGCAAAUUACCCAAUUCUAACAGCAUAAGAGAGGUAGUGACAAGAAAUAACAGUACAAGGCAGUUAAAAUGCUUUGUAAUUGGAAUGAUAGAAAUUUAAACACUUUUUAAAGUAUCAAUUGGAGGGCAAGUCUGGUGCCAGCAGCCGCGGUAAUUCCAGCUCCNAUAGCGUAUAUUAAAAUUGUUGCAGUUAAAAAGCUCGUAGUUGAAUUUCUGCUAAAAAUAACCGGUUUGCUUUUAUUAAUAAAAGUGGUAUCUUGGUGUGUUUUUAGCAAUAAUGUCCUUUGAAAUGUUUUUUACUUUAUUGUAAGAAGCAAUAUUCAGGAUUUUUACUUUGAGAAAAUUAGAGUGUUUCAAGCAGGCUAACGUUUUGAAUACUGCAGCAUGGAAUAAUAAAAUAGGAUUUUGGUUCUACAUUAUUGGUUUUAAGAACUAAAUUAAUGAUUGAUAGGGGCAGUUGGGGGCAUUUGUAUUUAACUGUCAGAGGUGAAAUCUUAAGAUAUGAGAAA